Molecule: ribosomal RNA, 1235 nt
Filed under: metagenome
Description: SSU rRNA
Rfam family: Eukaryotic small subunit ribosomal RNA
Source: RNAcentral
UGUCUGGUGCCAGCAGCCGCGGUAAUUCCAGCUCUCAAGGUGUAUAUCGCCAUUGCUGCGGUUAAAAAGCUCGUAGUUGGAUCUGCGCCUUCGGACUCGGUCCUCCCAACGGGUGCGAACUGAGCUCCAAGGCUACUACUGCUGGUUUUUCCCUUGAUGCUCUUCACUGGGUGUCUUGGGUGGCUAGCGAGUUUACUUUGAAAAAAUUAGAGUGCUCAAAACAGGCUAUUGCCUGAAUACCGGUGCAUGGAAUAAUAGAAUAGGAUCUCGGUCCUAUUUUGUUGGUUUUCGGAACUGAGAUAAUGGUUAAGAGGGACAGACGGGGGCAUUCGUAUCGCUGCGUGAGAGGUGAAAUUCUUGGACCGCAGCGAGACGCCCAACUGCGAAAGCAUUUGCCAAGAAUGUCUUCGUUAAUCAAGAACGAAAGUCAGAGGUUCGAAGGCGAUCAGAUACCGCCCUAGUUCUGACCGUAAACGAUGCCAACUAGCGAUCCGCCGGUGGUAAUUACGCCCCGGCGGGGAGCUUCCCGGAAACGAAAGUCUUCCGGUUCCGGGGGAAGUAUGGUUGCAAAGCUGAAACUUAAAGGAAUUGACGGAAGGGCACCACCAGGAGUGGAGCUUGCGGCUUAAUUUGACCCAACACGGGAAAACUCACCCGGCCCGGACACCGUAAGGAUUGACAGAUUGAGAGCUCUUUCUUGAUUCGGUGGUUGGUGGUGCAUGGCCGUUCUUAGUUGGUGGAGCGAUUUGUCUGGUUUAUUCCGAUAACGAACGAGACUCUGGCCUACUAACUAGUGACAGAAUUAUUGCUGUUCUGGUUACUUCUUAGAGGGACAAGUGGUGUUCAGCCACACGAAAUUGAGCAAUAACAGGUCUGUGAUGCCCUUAGAUGUCCGGGGCUGCACGCGUGCUACACUGGAGGAAACAGCAUGCAAAACCAUUGCCGAGAGGCAUUGGUAAACCCGAGAAAAUCUUCCGUGAUCGGGAUCGGGAAUUGCAAUUAUUUCCCUUGAACGAGGAAUUCCCAGUAAGUGUGGGUCAUCAGCUCGCGCUGAUUACGUCCCUGCCCUUUGUACACACCGCCCGUCGCUGCCCGGGACUGAGCCGUUUCGAGAAAAGCGGGGACUGCUGCUGUUGGGGCUUUCGGGCCUUGGCUUCGGUGGAAACCGCUUUAAUCGCAGUGGCUUGAACCGGGCAAAAGUCGUAACAAGGUUUCCGUAGGUGAACCUGCGGAAG